Molecule: long non-coding RNA, 1560 nt
Organism: Ictalurus punctatus (channel catfish)
Lineage: Eukaryota; Metazoa; Chordata; Actinopteri; Siluriformes; Ictaluridae
Source: Ensembl
GCUUCUACAUGUGUGUCGUCAACAAAAUUCAGUAAAAAUCCAAACUUCAAAAAAAAAAAAAAUUAUUAUUAUUUUCUUUUUUUUUGUAGAUUCAUGCGUCUGAGUAGUCUGGAUGUCUUAGUUGUGUGAUUUGGUAGUCGGAUAUAUGCCAUUCAUUAAAAUUCAGAACACGACUGUAUUUGAAAUGUCUCAUGUUGUCACAUACAGUCAGUGACAAAAUUAUUGGCACCCAUAAUGAUGACGAUGUAAAAAGUAAUAUCACAAGCAGUGAGUGAUACUUAUUAACAAAUGCAUAGCAGAAAGAAUAUAAAAAAUAUACGGGAAUCCGUAUAGUUUUACUGUAGCGCAUUAUCCCCCCACCACACACACACACUUUUUCUACAGACCAUGGUUUCAAAAGUUUUGGCACCCCACAUUUAAUACGUGCCGAACCCUCUGCUGAGUUUCUUCCUGUACAGUUUAACAAGCUCAGAGUCCUGCGUAGAGGAUUUUGGUUCCCUUCUCCGUGCACGACAUUUGAAUCUCCUUCAGUUCACACUACAGGUGUUUAAGAGGAUUCAAAUCGGGACACUGAGAACCCUUAACCCUUAAAACCCAUCUUUUUACACCAUUUAAAAAAAGAGGUUCGUGAGAAUGUUUUGUUAAUGGAAGGUUAGUAGAUGAAAAAUGUUUAAAACGGUGUGUGUGUGUGGUUUUUUUGCUUGUUUGCCAAUAAUUCAGGACUUGACUGUAUGAAGAAUGGCAAACAUGGAAUAUUUUGAAAUGCAAAAAGAUUUUAUCCAAAGGUAGAGAAUAAAACCGAGUGCGCCCUCUACUGGUCAUCAAGAUUUUCUCAAGCAUUUAUUUCUGAGAAGAAGAAGAAGAAGAAGUAGAGAAGCAAAAUGACAGUAUUUAUCCGUGACCAAGCCUGUUCAUGGACUGAAUGUGGUGUUGUAGAAGAGCGAGCACUGAGUGAUUGACACUCCUGAUUGAUCCCACUGAUGCAUUUCCACCUCCUCAGCACAGCGACCCUACAGAGAUAUAAACAUGCCUUCAGCCUUUUCGAUUUGAACCCGAGCGUAGCAUAAGCGAGGAGGAUAAUAUAGAAGACGUUACUCAAAACGUCCAUGAGGAUGAAGACGAUCAGAGAGGAGAGGAGGCGAGAGUGGCGCAAAAUCCACGGUGUCUGUGCAGCAACUGCACGUCUACGCCAGCCGAGAGAGUUUGUUAUUCAAGGUUGGGGGAAAAAACCCAGAGUGAAGCCUCCGGGGGCCGGGUCUCUCACACCUUAAAGUUCAAGAAACGCCCCUGUUGCCAACCCUGGACCUGGAGAACCCUCUGUCCUUCACAUUUUAGUUUGUACUUCCUCCAUCACUUCCUCUAUCCUUUUUUUUUAAGAAAAAAAAACUAAUUUGUGUGCAUUUUAGACGGAGAAUGGUAUUUUCAUGAGAAACUGGAUCUGAGAAGUAACGAGACAAGAAUACAUCAGAGACACCAGCACGUCCUGUUCUAAACCGCCGGAGAUUAAAGUCUGUUCCAUUGUUUUAAAUGUUAGAAAUGUUAGGAAACUGCGUUUUUUUU